RNAcentral lists this ribosomal RNA (468 nucleotides) under uncultured bacterium. Its description in RNAcentral is "partial 16S ribosomal RNA". It matches the Rfam family "Bacterial small subunit ribosomal RNA", at positions 28 to 507 of the family's 1533-position model. The record is from RNAcentral.
GACGAACGCUGGCGGCGUGCUUAACACAUGCAAGUCGAACGGAAGGGCCCUGCUUUUGUGGGGUGCUCGAGUGGCGAACGGGUGAGUAACACGUGAGUAACCUGCCCUUGACUUUGGGAUAACUUCAGGAAACUGGGGCUAAUACCGGAUAGGAGCUCCUGCUGCAUGGUGGGGGUUGGAAAGUUUCGGCGGUUGGGGAUGGACUCGCGGCUUAUCAGAUUGUUGGUGGGGUAGUGGCUUACCAAGGCUUUGACGGGUAGCCGGCCUGAGAGGGUGACCGGCCACAUUGGGACUGAGCUACGGCCCAGACUCCUACGGGAGGCAGCAGUGGGGAAUAUUGCACAAUGGGCGGAAGCCUGAUGCAGCAACGCCGCGUGCGGGAUGACGGCAUUCGGGUUGUAAACCGCUUUCGCCUGUGACGAAGCGUGAGUGACGGUAAUGGGUAAAGAAGCACCGGCUAACUACGUG